This 465-nucleotide ribosomal RNA is filed under the name uncultured bacterium. RNAcentral describes it as "partial 16S ribosomal RNA". It matches the Rfam family "Bacterial small subunit ribosomal RNA", at positions 28 to 507 of the family's 1533-position model. The record is from RNAcentral.
GACGAACGCUGGCGGCGUGCUUAACACAUGCAAGUCGAACGGAAAGGCCCUGCUUGCAGGGUACUCGAGUGGCGAACGGGUGAGUAACACGUGGGUGAUCUGCCCUGCACUUCGGGAUAAGCCUGGGAAACUGGGUCUAAUACCGGAUAGGAGCCAUUUUUAGUGUGAUGGUUGGAAAGUUUUUUCGGUGUAGGAUGAGCUCGCGGCCUAUCAGCUUGUUGGUGGGGUAAUGGCCUACCAAGGCGGCGACGGGUAGCCGGCCUGGGAGGGUGGACGGCCACAUUGGGACUGAGGUGCGGCCCAGACUCCUACGGGAGGCAGCAGGGGGGAAUAUUGCACAAUGGGCGCAAGCCUGAUGCAGCGACGCCGCGUGGGGGAUGACGGCCUUCGGGUUGUAAACUCCUUUCGCUAGGGACGAAGCUUUUUGUGACGGUACCUAGAUAAGAAGCACCGGCUAACUACGUG